CCGAAAAGGCGUCAACAGUGGUUACAGUGCACAAUCCUCUCACGCCCAUACCAUGUCAUCUCUCCUCUCGACUUUACUCUCGCUCUUGUUAUUCCAGUGCAAAGACCGCAGCAGUCUAUAUCCUCAGCCUAUAAUCACAUUAGGUUUUCUAUUUCCGAAUUGAAUAAUUCACGCACAUUUAUUCCACGCUCGGAAAUCGCUUAACAUAAUUUUUUUUACUGAAUUAAAAAAAUACAAAGUGCAAAAUAAUUAUAAAAGAAAACGUACAUGACAAUUAAAACUACAAAAUAAUUAAGAGAAAAAUACAUAAAACUAAUGAUUACUACGUUCCCACACACAUAGGCUAACAAGCGCACAGCUGCGGUGCACUUUUGUAGGGGGAGAGAGACGGAGCUGACCCAGAGCAUCUUCUCUUUGGGUGAAAUACGGAGAGAGAGUAUUCACCUAAUCUAUGCAUAAUACUAAAAAAAAGUUGCGGCCUCAUGUGGUACCUGCGCCGAAAGUAAUUUGGAGUCAAUCGUGGGCAUACUCACGAUCACAAUUGAUAUAGCGUCGAUGGGGCUUGGGCCUGCUCGACGACUCUUCAUUGAGCUCGAGCAUAACCUCCUCCAUGGCUGUUUGCAAUGCAUUCCACAUUGCACCUUCGGCUCUUUCACUUGAGUUUGUGCUCGAAGAAGGCAUGACGUGAAAAUGAGUAAAAAAGGCGAGUUUGGAAGAGAGAAACAAGAUAAAAUGGUGUGUGGAAUUAUUUGUACCCGAGUAUGGGUGUUUAUAGAGGGACUAGGGAUGAAAUUUGUGAAUUUUGCAUUUUUUUUUAUUUUUUUGGACUCCAAAUGGUCAAAAGCGGCUAGUUGCAAUGGCUACCACACGUGAACCAAUCAGGAGCUAUCACGUCCCUUUCGCCCAUUCACAGUCGCUCACGAGACGCCGCAACCCACGUGUCGCCCGCCUCUCGCCACCCUCUCGCCUGGGGGCGUGCUCCAGCGCGAGCGAGAGCGGGGUGAUGCUGGCCGGGGGAUGCGCAGGUCAUAAAUGCGGCGUAGUUCAUGGGGCUCGUAGGCCAUGAGUGCUAUGUGGUCCAAGGGGUUUGUAGGUCAUGAGUGGGAGGCUGAUCGCCGCCUCCGUAGUGGCUCGGUGCCAAGUGUAGUAAAUGUGGCCGGUCACUUAUGAUGGGUUGGUCUUGGGCCAGGCAUCGGAUCCACUCAAGUGGUUUCCCUUCGGCAUGCCCGGUCCCUGUCCGAUUCUGCCACGCCCAACCUCGGGCUCAGUGUCGCGGGGUUCGUCCGGGCGGGUUCUUCGAGGGUAGAUGUUACCUAUCUCCUCCAACUGACCAACAAGCCCCAGUUGCCAGAGGCCUUUCCCCAGUUUGCUCGUUGACUGAUGGGCCCCAGGGAUCGGGGAUUAUAUCCCCGACAGUAGCCCUCAAGCCCCCGGGGGGAGAAUAUUUCCCCUUGGGGGCUGAUAAAGGGUAGGCGACGUUUUGUCCUUUCGCCCUUCGAGUGAUCGUGGUAUUUAUUCCCUCGGGAUUCAGACUGCUUUCGACGCAUCCUACUGCCUUUUGGGGUGGAGUUGGGCGACUUUGCCUCCCUUUAUAAGUUCUGGGCGGUCGUAGUUUGCUUGUUGGCGACUUUGCUUUCCUUGUCCUUUGGCCUCUUCUUGAGCGUACCUCUGACCGGGUUGUUUGACAGAUCUCGGGUUGCUUGGGCUGUCGCGUUCCAUGGGCCAUGGUCAAGGGUAGUCGUCGCCGAUGAGGCGAUCACAUUGCCACCUGUUAGGCUGCUUCGAUCGAGCUCUUUGUCUCCUCUCCCUUUCCUUCAGGCGUCUUCGGGGAGUUGCGAUGUUUCCCGCGCAGCGCAAGCGGCCACCGAGGUCGAGAUCAAGCUGCUUCGUGCCGCAUCUAGGAUAUCAUCGAUUUCGGCGUUCACAUGGGAGCUGUGGUGGCGCUGCUGAUGAGGGAGAUUUGCUUUUGGAUGAAGGGCGAGAAGACCCGCUGGAAGGUCACAACGAGGUGGCCAGUCAUGUUGUGAUUAGGGUGUCAGCUCAUUACAUCGUGCGUGACGCACGUUGAUCGCGAUGUAUCGUGCCUCGGUGCUGCUUUCCUAAAGUAAUAAAGUGAACUUCGUUGCGUGA
Molecule: long non-coding RNA, 2130 nt
Organism: Zea mays
Lineage: Eukaryota; Viridiplantae; Streptophyta; Magnoliopsida; Poales; Poaceae
Exons: 2
Source: RefSeq, a predicted model, not a curated record